RNAcentral lists this transfer RNA (72 nucleotides) under Camelus bactrianus (Bactrian camel). It matches the Rfam family "tRNA". Rfam says of the family: Transfer RNA (tRNA) molecules are approximately 80 nucleotides in length. RNAcentral also lists the same sequence under 2 other names. Lineage: Eukaryota; Metazoa; Chordata; Mammalia; Artiodactyla; Camelidae. The record is from Rfam by way of RNAcentral.
GAAGGUGUAGUUCAGUGGUUCAGUGAGUGCUUAGCAUGCAUGAGGUCCUGGGUUCAAUCCCCAGGACCUCCG